AUGUUAUUGAGCUUAACCUACAAAAAUUACAUUUCAAAUUUAUAUGAUAGCUCAACAGAUUAUAAGAAUCACAAACUUCAAUCCGUUAUAGUGAAUUAGUUCGGUUUGAUUGACAUUUUACAUGAACUUAGUCUUUCAAUUUUUCAAUUUCAAUUCGGUUCGGAGCCGAACCGACCAUUUGCUCACCACUAUAAGAGAAUUACAACAAUAAUAAACAUGAGAAGAAGACCACAACCAUCCAUUUUACUCUGUUUUCUUGGCAAUAUUAACAUGGGAAAAAUGAUAGCUAGGUUUGUACAUUCUAUACGUGUUUGCAAUAUUUCCAACAAGAGAUAACGCAAGGUACCAAUCAAGGUGAUCUGGGGAAAAAAAUUAGAAUAGAGUGCUCUGCCAAGACAAUCCCGCCAAUGUUGCAUGUGGACAAUUGAAAUGGUAAAACCAAAAUUGUGAAACCUUGCUGGUUCAACCGGAAAAAUGAGGAACCUGACCUAUGGCUGUCCCAAGUUACCCUUAAAACCUAGAAAUUAUGAAAUGCAAUCAAAACCUAAUGACCUAAUUGGAUAGCCAAUGACCCAACAUGGAUUACAUA
RNAcentral lists this unclassified non-coding RNA (589 nucleotides) under Hevea brasiliensis (rubber tree). The record is from RNAcentral. Lineage: Eukaryota; Viridiplantae; Streptophyta; Magnoliopsida; Malpighiales; Euphorbiaceae.